This 497-nucleotide ribosomal RNA is filed under the name uncultured bacterium. RNAcentral's name for it is "partial 16S ribosomal RNA". It matches the Rfam family "Bacterial small subunit ribosomal RNA", at positions 28 to 507 of the family's 1533-position model. The record is from RNAcentral.
GACGAACGCUGGCGGCGUGCCUAAUACAUGCAAGUAGAACGCUGAAGAGAGGAGCUUGCUCUUCUUGGAUGAGUUGCGAACGGGUGAGUAACGCGUAGGUAACCUGCCUUGUAGCGGGGGAUAACUAUUGGAAACGAUAGCUAAUACCGCAUAACAAUGGAUGACACAUGUCAUUUAUUUGAAAGGGGCAAUUGCUCCACUACAAGAUGGACCUGCGUUGUAUUAGCUAGUAGGUGAGGUAAUGGCUCACCUAGGCGACGAUACAUAGCCGACCUAAGAGGGUGAUCGGCCACACUGGGACUGAGACACGGCCCAGACUCCUACGGGAGGCAGCAGUAGGGAAUCUUCGGCAAUGGGGGCAACCCUGACCGAGCAACGCCGCGUGAGUGAAGAAGGUUUUCGGAUCGUAAAGCUCUGUUGUAAGUCAAGAACGGGUGUGAGAGUGGAAAGUUCACACUGUGACGGUAGCUUACCAGAAAGGGACGGCUAACUACGUG